Neopsephotus bourkii (Bourke's parrot) is the source of this 1941-nucleotide long non-coding RNA. RefSeq lists it as uncharacterized. NCBI's taxonomy places the organism in Eukaryota, Metazoa, Chordata, Aves, Psittaciformes, Psittacidae. The transcript is spliced from 3 exons. The record is from RefSeq and is a predicted model, not a curated record.
GUCUCGUGGGAGACCUACACUGGAGCAGCUUGUGUCAGAAGGACUGAACCUUGUGGAAGGAGCACACUCUGGAGCAGAUCAGGAAAAUCUGCAGCCCCUGGGAAACACUCAGUGAGCCGUGUGGGUGUCUCUCUCAGUGGAAGCUGACAAUUUGAUGAUACUUCAUCAGUGUAGGACCCUGCUGAGAAGUAGAUUGAGACAAAGAAAAUGCCUCUCAUCACUGGAACAAAUAAGAAAUCAGAUUUUCUAAAUUACUGCUAGGCAGAUAGUCUCUCAGGAGACCAUGAAUGAACAGUGUAGCACUAUCAACAUUAGUUCUGGUGCAUGGAAGAAACCUGCCCUCCAUCUUCAUGGCGUGGUGCUUGGAUCUUGCUGACCCAAAACCCACCGAUCUCUUGCAUUUUUCUAUAGCUUUGCUGUACUCUCUUCAGUUCCUCCUUGGAUGCCAAGUCCUGAAUAGCCCACAGUACAAGUUACAGCUUGUGAUGUCCAACUGACUUUUACUGUCAUCAACAGACUGAUAUUUGUUUAAUGUAGUGAAAUGAAUGCCUCUCCUAGCUGUUUGGAAAGCAAAUCCCUCUUUACCCUCCAGCGCCUAUUUGCUGUACUUGAGUGAGCCUGGUAAAAUUCUUGGGUUAUAAUUUAGUGCUGCUGUGUUUGUGCAGAACUAACAGGAUUUCUUAAGGCCUCUUUGAGUUUUUUAAGCCAAGGAACUACUCUUUUCCUUGAUGGAGCUCUCCACGGCCUUAACAGCAUUGCACACACAGAUCUUCAAACAGGGACAGCAAGCAAACAGCAUAUUACCUGCAACAACAGGUACUGCUGAGCAUAAUGAUACGCUGAGAUAGGACCUUACUGAGCUUUCUGAAGUUCCCCACAACACAGUCAUAUUGCACCUUUUAUGUCUGUGCUGAGGUUCACCCUGGCUGGACACGAGGUGCCACCAAAGCUGCUCUGUCACUGCUCUCCAAAGCAGGACAGUGGGAAGAAAAUGUAACAAAAGGCUUGUGGGUUAAGGACAGGGAGAAAUCACUCACCAAUCAGUGUCAUGGACAAAUCAUUUAAUAAUUUUUCAUUUAGGAAGUAUAAUGACUGCAUACAUGAACCAGCAUCAAUAUUUAUGCUAAAAUAUGUGUUGUUUGUAUAUGAAACAUUAUACAUCUUAAUUGAGAUUAUUUCCUUUUGAAGAACUCUUUCUGGAAAUGAGUACAGCCUGCUGGGCAUUCCAGUUGUUAAAUGAAAAACAUGCUAGGAGACCACCACAACAUUGGCCGACAUUUAACAACUUGCUGUACCUCCAGAGUAUAACUGACAGCUAUUCUAGAGAGCCCACUGGUGCCAUAUAUGAAAGUAAAUCAUGCUUCGAUUAUUCCAUCUUAUAGCUCACUGCAGCACAGGGAACAUGCUUUCCCAGCAGCUGUUAUCAGCUUACUUGGAAUUCUUGACCAAUAUCAUUGAAAGCCUAAUAUGAUAACAAAGGCUACAAAUUAUUUCCACAGUAUGUUAAAGUUGAGACAGUGAGCUGUAAAAUAAAGAGAAAUCUCUCUAUUAGAUAGACCUGUCUCAAAGUCACUUUUUCCUUUAGAAAUCAUGAUCUACACAGUUUCAUAAAUCGAUGAAAGGAUCUUGACCAUUAAACUUAAUUGAUACUGAAUUUAGACGCAUGAACUUAAAUCAUUUUGCCAUUUUCUUUCACAGUUUUUGGCAUUACAUUUCUCCCCAUCACUGUAUGAAGUGAAAAUAUCACAUGCACUGAGGAGGUAAGAUUAGCAUGUACAAAAGAUGAAGCAGUGCGAGAAGCGACAUCUGGGGCAAUGCAAAAAGAUGUUUCAAAGACUGUAAACAGGCAGAAGCAAAAACAGAAAAUAAAACCUGACUUUUAAGUAAAAUUAGCAACAACUUGGAUUUAUAUAGUGCUCCAUAUGUUCUAGAUGAAUAACA